RNAcentral lists this transfer RNA (83 nucleotides) under termite gut metagenome. Its description in RNAcentral is "tRNA-Leu". It matches the Rfam family "tRNA". Rfam says of the family: Transfer RNA (tRNA) molecules are approximately 80 nucleotides in length. The record is from RNAcentral.
GCGGCUGUGGCGUAAUUGGUAGCCGCGCCAGACUUAGGAUCUGGUGUCGCAAGACGUGGGGGUUCGAGUCCCUUCAGCCGCAC